GGGCGGAGCGGCCGUCGG
This 18-nucleotide small nuclear RNA is filed under the name Arabidopsis thaliana (thale cress). Its description in RNAcentral is "snRNA_02871". Lineage: Eukaryota; Viridiplantae; Streptophyta; Magnoliopsida; Brassicales; Brassicaceae. The record is from RNAcentral.